GAGGGGGAAUGGAAGGACGGACGAUAAACGCCGACAGCCGGCCGGGGCUGGAUCCCAGGUUUUCAAAUAAUUGAAGCCUGGCAGAAGAGAACUACACAGAAUGGAUACUGGCUUGGUAAAAAGGCUCAAGGAUGCACAUCCAUAGUGAGCUUUUGACCAGAGAGACCUACAAGGUUUCCUACAAGAAGACAGAUUUCUGUCAGAGCACUUGAUUACCUACCAAAGAUGGACACAGAACCUAAGGAGAGAUUCAGCCCAUUGCACCUCACCAGGGGCCC
Jaculus jaculus (lesser Egyptian jerboa) is the source of this 278-nucleotide long non-coding RNA. RefSeq lists it as uncharacterized. The record is from RefSeq and is a predicted model, not a curated record. The transcript is spliced from 4 exons. NCBI's taxonomy places the organism in Eukaryota, Metazoa, Chordata, Mammalia, Rodentia, Dipodidae.